Molecule: ribosomal RNA, 480 nt
Filed under: uncultured bacterium
Lineage: Bacteria
Description: partial 16S ribosomal RNA
Rfam family: Bacterial small subunit ribosomal RNA
Source: RNAcentral
AACAAACGCUGGCGGCGUGCCUAAUACAUGCAAGUCGAACGGGGAAAGUCUUCGGAUGAGUACUAGUGGCGCACGGGUGAGGAACACGUAGAUAAUCUGCCCCUAGGCGGGGAAUAACUGGUCGAAAGAUCAGCUAAUACCGCAUAAGACCACGACUUCUGAGGAAGAUGGGGUUAAAGGCUUCGGCCACCUAGGGAUGAGUCUGCGUCCGAUUAGCUAGUUGGUGAGGUAAGUGCACACCAAGGCGACGAUCGGUAACUGGUCUGAGAGGAUGACCAGUCACACUGGGACUGAGACACGGCCCAGACUCCUACGGGAGGCAGCAGUAGGGAAUAUUGCACAAUGGAGGAAACUCUGAUGCAGCGACGCCGCGUGAGUGAUGAAGGCCCUCGGGUUGUAAAGCUCUGUUCUUAGGGAAUAAAAAAAUGAAGGUACCUAAGGAGAAAGGACCGGCUAACUUCGUGCCAGCCGCCGCAGUAA